UUAAAUGUAAGAGUUUGAUUAUGGCGCAGAUGGAACGCUGGCGUCAGGCCUAACACAUGCAAGUCGAACGGUAACAGGAAGAAGCUUGCUUCUUUGCUGACGAGUGGCGGACGGGUGAGUAAUGUCUGGGAAACGGCCUGAUGGAGGGGGAUAACUACUGGAAACGGUAGCUAAUAC
RNAcentral lists this ribosomal RNA (177 nucleotides) under Escherichia coli. RNAcentral describes it as "partial 16S ribosomal RNA". It matches the Rfam family "Bacterial small subunit ribosomal RNA", at positions 1 to 169 of the family's 1533-position model. Lineage: Bacteria; Pseudomonadati; Pseudomonadota; Gammaproteobacteria; Enterobacterales; Enterobacteriaceae. The record is from RNAcentral.